Molecule: ribosomal RNA, 427 nt
Filed under: uncultured prokaryote
Description: bacterial SSU rRNA
Rfam family: Bacterial small subunit ribosomal RNA
Source: RNAcentral
UGGGGAAUUUUACACAGUGGGGGCAACCCUGAUCCAGCAAUGCCGCGUGAGUGAAGAAGGCCUUCGGGUUGUAAAGCACUUUUGUCAGGGACGAAACGGUUUUGGCUAAUCUCCAGAACUAAUUACGGUACCUUAAGAAUAAACACCGGCUAACUACGUUCCAACAGCCGCGGUAAUACGUAGGGUGCAAGCGUUAGUAGGAAUUACUGGGCGUAAAGCGUGAGGAGGCGGUGGUGGAAGGCAGAUGUGAAAGCCCUGGGCGCAACCGGGGAAUUGCAUUCGUGACUGUUAGGCUAGAGUGUGGCAGAGGGGGGUAGAAUUCCAGGUGUAGAAGUGAAAUGCGUAGAUAUGGGGAGGAAUACCGAUGGCGAAGGCAGCCACCUGGGAUAAUACUGACGCUGAGGCACGAAAGCGUGGGGAGCAAACA